CUUAAUGCCACCCUCUGACAAUACUAUGUCACAUGCUUUGUGCCAAAAUUGUCCCCCCACUCCUUCCCUUACCCCCAAAUCAUAAUUCUCCUUUUCUCAGUGAGCAAAUUCCAGCUGUAAGCCUACAAAAGUAAUGUACUGGAGCAAUCCCCAGCACCUGCUUGCUAAUGACCCUGUGAUAAAGCUGAAACUCCUUACCUUAGGUGUUCUCUCAUGCAGCAACCUGCAAGAUGUGCAUGUGAAUACGCAGAAGCACACCUGAAGGAGCUAACACCAAACUGAAAACCAAGGUCACCUCUGGGGAGGUGAGGAGGAGACCAGAAAUGGAGGUCAGCUGAGGGUUCUGAUCCAUGCCAUCGUCAUUCAGGGAUCUAGACCUCAUCAUCUGAAAUGUCAUUGGUCACCAUGGUAGAGAGAAGGAUCACAAUCAACAUGACAGAAGUAGAAGCUCUUUCCAUCCCACUCUCUUUGACCUAACAGGGAUCAGCGUCUUGAGACUCCACUUCUGAAAAGCUGUAUGUAAUGAUGAGUCAUCAAAGGCUCUUGAAACAUC
Molecule: long non-coding RNA, 553 nt
Organism: Panthera uncia (snow leopard)
Lineage: Eukaryota; Metazoa; Chordata; Mammalia; Carnivora; Felidae
Exons: 3
Source: RefSeq, a predicted model, not a curated record